This 378-nucleotide unclassified non-coding RNA is filed under the name plant metagenome. RNAcentral describes it as "partial contains 5.8S ribosomal RNA, internal transcribed spacer 2, and large subunit ribosomal RNA". The stretch from base 1 to 105 matches the Rfam family "5.8S ribosomal RNA", at positions 50 to 154 of the family's 154-position model. The record is from RNAcentral.
GAAAUGCGAUAAGUAAUGUGAAUUGCAGCAUUCAGUGAAUCCUCGAAUCUUUGAACGCACCUUGCGCUCCUUGGUAUUCCUUGGAGCAUGCCUGUUUGAGUAUCAUGAAAUCUUCAAAGUAAAUCUUUUGUUAACUCAAUUGGUUUCUACUUUGGUAUUGGAGGUCUUUGCAGCUUCACACCUGCUCCUCUUUGUUCAUUAGCUGGAUCUCAGUGUUAUGCUUGGUUCCACUCGGCGUGAUAAGUUAUCUAUCGCUGAGGACACUGUAAAAGGUGGCCAAGGUAAAUGCAGAUGAACCGCUUCUAAUAGUCCAUUGACUUGGACAAUACUUUUAUGAUCUGAUCUCAAAUCAGGUAGGACUACCCGCUGAACUUAAGC